CUGUAGACAUCGAAAUUUCGGUAAAUAAAUGUUGACCGAUAAAUCAAAGUGUCAACGCUCAUGUAUUACAUAAAUUUUACACAUAGCGUGUGACUCGACGAAAAUUGAAAUGAGUUGGAAAAGUCAUCAAAUAGGACACGUGUCAACACCUGGCAGAAACGACGAUUGGAGGAGAAGGGAUUGAAGGAUGGGCGCCAUAUGUUGUCUGGAGAAGAAGGGAUUGCCUCUUCACCAAGGUUCAAGUCAAAACGACGAUCGGAGGGGCCAGACAUUUUCAAAAGUGUUGAAAGAAAGAAGAAGAUCGGACAAAUCAAAAUCUUAGAAGUGCAAGAAGGGAGUUUCUACAAGCAAAAAAUUCAAGUGUGCUUUGAAACAAACUGCAUGCCUCUAUAAAAAAUCAGCACUCGACGGGAUUUCAGAGAUCGAAGAGGCGAGCUCAGAAUUCGAAGAGGCCAUUCAAAAAUCGAAGAGGCAAGCUCGGAAAUCGGAGAAGCAUCUUGCUUUUCCAGACGCGUCGGCACCCAUCACAUGCAAACUCAGCUUUGCGGAAAUCACGGGUAAUUUGUCGAAGCGCCGAUCCCAGAUAUCGAAGAGGCGCCAGUCUUUUUCAGCCGCGUCAUCACCUGUCAUAUGCACACUCAACUUUGCGCAAAUCACGGGCAAUUUGUCGAAGAUUUUCGGUGAAGGAGAAAGCACGUGAAAGUUUACUGUUCAAUCACGCGUUAGUUGCCGACACGAGUGAAAGAAUAGUACCUCUACAGGUAUCAAAGAACUUCCUAUAAUUGUCUACCUUCGCCUUCCAUAGCAAGGCAGACAUACAGAGCAUUUCUUCAUCUCCAAAAAAAUGUUUUCCCAACGAAGCCUCUCGAGUCAUUCAAUAUUCCUUAUUCCUUGGGGUACCUCCGCAAGCCAAUGACUCCAAAGCAAAAGUAUCUCAUAUCACCAGGGUAGAAAGCAAGAGUAUCUCAUAUCAUGCGUUCUCCCUGUCCUUUCCUUUGUCCUUGUUCUUACCUACAAAGACAAGGAUAAAGAAAACAAUAUGCCGGAACUUCCACUCAAACUCGGGUAAGGAACCGACUGCUUGGAACCCUUCCCUGAUUGCCUACCUAGCACUGCUCUCGAGUACUCGCCUUCCACUGCUGCUGUACUUCCAAAGAAGCUGCCACAUCUGCCUGGAGAACAGAUAAGGCAAGUGAAAAUGAUACCUUGCAGCAUGUGGAGACAAGGUGCAAAAUGAACAAGCAGAGAAGAAUGCAGUCUGCACAGUCAACUCAGCAGAAGGAGUCCGAGCUAAAGAACUCGAGAAGCUGCCAUAUCUGCCUGAAGAAACAAGCAGAGAAGAAUGCAGCAUGCACAGUCAACUCGGCAGAAAGAGUCUGAGAUGAAGAACUCGUUUGACCCUCAAAUUCUUGGGUCGACUUACUAGGCGUUGUGGGCUGCACGUGCCGAUUCACCACCCUUGAAUCAAAUCCUUAAAGAUCAAGUCACCAACUGGAAGAAUAGCCCAUCAAUCUUGAAGAUCAUAUCGUUGACCAAACUGCUCAGGUGUGAAUUAGAAAGAUUGAACAAAGAAACAGGUUGUCACCUUUACCUCGUGCCUGCUUGCCAUGUGUUCGAGUCAACCUUCAAGAAUCAAGCCUCAACGGCCCUUGAAGAAGUUUCCAGCUAAAUUCAAGAUCAAGCCUUGACGGCCCUUGAGGAAAUCACAAGUCCGAUUCAAGAUCAAGUGUCUACCACCCUUGAAUCAAAACCUAGUUCAAGAAUAAGCUGUGGAAAAUCAACAAUUGGAGGAAUCCAGAAAAUCCUCCAACCCAGUUCAAGAUCAAAGCUGUGGAAAGUCAACAAGCGCAACAAAAUACGUGCCGAUUCACCCACUACCAAAGCCAAAGAUCAUCUACCACAUGAAGCUCCUUGUGGUCCAAUUUCAACCUUCAAGAUCAAGUCUCGACGAUCCUUGAAUAAAUUUCAAACAAAAGUUCAAGAACAAGCCUCAACGGCCCUUGAAGAAAUCUCAAGCCCAAUUCAAGAUCAAGCCUCAACGGCCCUUGAAGAAAUCUCCAGCCCAAUUCAAGAUCAAGCCUCGACGGCCCUUGGAUCGACAUCUACAGUAAGGGACUUCAAAACGCAUCUCCUACACGUGACAAGCACAUGUAUACAACGCGCCUUGAAGUGGGGGCAUUUGUAGACAUCGAAAUUUCGGUAAAUAAAUGUUGACCGAUAAAUCAAAGUGUCAACGCUCAUGUAUUACAUAAAUUUUACACAUAGCGUGUGACUCGACGAAAAUUGAAAUGAGUUGGAAAAGUCAUCAAAUAGGACACGUGUCAACACCUGGCAGAAACAACUUAUUUCAUCUGGAAUACUAUAUUCAAAACUAGGCCUUGGAAACUUCUAUAAAUAGAAGGCUAAUUCAUUCAUUUGGG
This 2420-nucleotide long non-coding RNA is filed under the name Malus domestica (apple). RNAcentral's name for it is "long non-coding RNA (MDOM_LNC018381)". The record is from RNAcentral. Lineage: Eukaryota; Viridiplantae; Streptophyta; Magnoliopsida; Rosales; Rosaceae.